AGUGAACGCUGGCGGUAGGCCUAACACAUGCAAGUCGAACGGCAGCACAGUAAUAGCUUGCUCUUACGGGUGGCGAGUGGCGGACGGGUGAGGAAUACAUCGGAAUCUACUUUUUCGUGGGGGAUAACGUAGGGAAACUUACGCUAAUACCGCAUACGACCUACGUGUGAAAGCAGGGGAUCUUCGGACCUUGCGCGAUUGAAUGAGCCGAUGUCGGAUUAGCUAGUUGGCGGGGUAAAGGCCCACCAAGGCGACGAUCCGUAGCUGGUCUGAGAGGAUGAUCAGCCACACUGGAACUGAGACACGGUCCAGACUCCUACGGGAGGCAGCAGUGGGGAAUAUUGGACAAUGGGCGCAAGCCUGAUCCAGCCAUACCGCGUGGGUGAAGAAGGCCUUCGGGUUGUAAAGCCCUUUUGUUGGGAAAGAAAAGCAGCAGGUUAAUACCCCGCUGUUCUGACGGUACCAAAAGAAUAAGCACCGGCUAACUUCGUG
This 492-nucleotide ribosomal RNA is filed under the name uncultured bacterium. RNAcentral's name for it is "partial 16S ribosomal RNA". It matches the Rfam family "Bacterial small subunit ribosomal RNA", at positions 29 to 507 of the family's 1533-position model. The record is from RNAcentral.